CAUCAAGAGACAGGUAGACAAUGUACCUGCAGAUCUACAAACUAUACGCAGAUCUGUAGAGCUGUGUGCGGUUAUAGAUCUACAAAUGAUCCGUAGACCUGUGUGUGAGGUUAUAGAUCUAUAAAUGAUCUGUAGAGCUGUGUGUGAGGUUAUAGAUCUAUACAUAUUCUGUAGACCUGUGUGAGGUUAUAGAUCUAUAAAUGAUCUGUAGAGCUGUGUGUGAGGUUAUAGAUCUAUAAAUGAUCUGUAGAGCUGUGUGUGAGGUUAUAGAUCUAUAAAUGAUCUGUAGAGCUGUGUGUGAGGUUAUAGAUCUAUAAAUGAUCUGUAGACCUGUGUGUGAGGUUAUAGAUCUAUAAAUGAUCUGUAGACCUGUGUGUGAGGUUAUAGAUCUAUAAAUGAU
Long non-coding RNA from Dicentrarchus labrax (European seabass), 400 nucleotides. RefSeq lists it as uncharacterized. The record is from RefSeq and is a predicted model, not a curated record. Lineage: Eukaryota; Metazoa; Chordata; Actinopteri; Moronidae. The transcript has 4 exons.